Long non-coding RNA from Astatotilapia calliptera (eastern happy), 421 nucleotides. Lineage: Eukaryota; Metazoa; Chordata; Actinopteri; Cichliformes; Cichlidae. The record is from Ensembl.
CACACACCGUCACUGUCAUGCCUCCUCCCCUCCUCCCUUACCUCCCUCCCUCCUGUGUCCCUCCAUCCCUUUUAAAGCGUUACCAUAUUUGACUGCAGCUCCUGCAGCAGCACACCUCCACAAACUCCACUCUCUCUCCUGUCAAAAUGCCAGACUUUGCCGACGCUGUGCCAGCACCAUGCCAGGUAAUCAAAGAGGACUCUGACAAAUGCUUUACCUCAGGUUCUUCACUUUCCCAUCUUCUUAAUACGCUGGAAGAAACCAUCUGAAAACUGAAGAGGGGGGUGUUGCUUAUGAAUUUACCUCCAUACUUCUACUUAUUCUGUUAUAAUUGUUGUAAUUGUUAUACUCUAAGACUAAUUAGCUUACUGUCGAUAACAAGUUUGUAUGAUACCUUACAAUAAACCUUUUUCAACAUACA